Molecule: long non-coding RNA, 712 nt
Filed under: Sinocyclocheilus anshuiensis
Lineage: Eukaryota; Metazoa; Chordata; Actinopteri; Cypriniformes; Cyprinidae
Description: lncRNA (ENSSANG00000017148.1)
Source: RNAcentral
GCAGUGGGCGUUUCUGUCGGAUUAAUAUCUCUGACCGUGGUCGUCAUGAUCAGUAAAAACAUGCAUCGCGUGGACACUGAAAAUCUUGAGGAAGAAAAACAGUGUUCACCAUUAGUUGACUUGCCAGUGGACAAUACUCUGUUUAGUGAAUCAACUUCAGAGACGUUUCUCCUCAAGAGCACAAAAAUGUCAGACAUUCCGGAAGAGCCAGAGGAGAUUUAUGAAAGUAGCCACCCUUCCAUCGUGCCCCUGAAAGAAGCCGCUCAGAGCGCUGAGGAACAGGGAAAAAUCAACUACAUUACGUCCGGACCAGGCGAAGGUCACAAACAUUCCUCUAGAUGGAGACAAGAAGCUCAAAGAUGGUCCUAAUGUUGUUUAUACUGUUCUCGCCAAGCAACCGAGAGAGGAGAUGGAAGAAUCUGGAGUCUAAAGCGGUCAACUGAUGGAAGAAAUUGUAAAACCACACAGGGACUUUUUUUUUUAAUUAUAUGCACUUAUGGACCACUUGAUGUAGCCUCAAUGUCAGAGACUUGAAAAGUAGAAAAAAUCCCCACUGUUCUGUUUAAUUGUGUCCAGCUGCAGUUUGCCCUAAUAAAAUCCAGCUGUUUAAAACGACACGCUACUGUUCAAAUGUUUGGGGUCAGUAAGAUUUAUUUUAAAUAUUUUUGGAAGAAGUCUCUUAUGCUCUUUUUUUAAUUUAUUUUGAUCGAGA